Molecule: long non-coding RNA, 2187 nt
Organism: Bactrocera neohumeralis
Lineage: Eukaryota; Metazoa; Arthropoda; Insecta; Diptera; Tephritidae
Exons: 3
Source: RefSeq, a predicted model, not a curated record
AUUUUUAAGUUUUUAUUAAGUAAAAUUUUAAGGCAAACAUUACAGAACUAGCGAAAUAAAGAAUUUAUGUAUUUUUCAGGGUGAAUUUCCAUACCCUAGUACUUCUUCAUGGACUAAUUCUGAGUUGGGUAUACCCGCGGUGAAAGAAUAAAGAGCAGGACAUUCAUACUUCAAGAGUUUCGUUAAGUUAAAUAUUACAGUUUUGAUGGAAUGUAAAAUGAAAAAUGUAUACAACUUCAAAAAUAACAAAUUAUUUUAUUUUCUUAGUCGCCUUGUACGAAACGGGUUAUAAUGUCAUGUUACUACGCCCGGCAUGACAUCUUCUAGUUAUUUUAGUCAACAAAGUAUUUAUCCUUUAAAUGAAAAUUUUUUUCUUAACAGUUGAGAUGUGCUGUUUUUCGGAAGUUUAUUGCAUUUUUUAUAUUACUCUAGUUACCGAAGUUGUUUUUCCUUUGAAUGAAAACUCUGUUUUCUUAACAAUGAAGGUGUGCUGUUUGUUUGUCGGAAUAAAUAUGCAAAUAGUAUGUUCGUUCACAGUACUAAACGCGUUUUUCCUCUAGCGCUUUAAAGAUCCACUGGAUCGCGCAGGUUAAUUGGGGAAAAGGUUGACAAGUAAGUAUCAGGGAUAAAGGGAUGCCCAACUUAUUCCAGUGUGAAAGCGCCUCAAAAUAAGCGGUUUUUAAAUAAAUUUCCAUUGUAGCCAGAUCGGGCAAAAUAAUAAUUUUUGGGCAUUUAAAUUAAAACACUCAACAUUUAUUACAAUUAAUUUUUUUUUAUAUUGGACUUCUAAUAUACCGCAAAACAAUUUAAAUCUUAUUUAUGAUUUAAUGGUAUAUUAAAACAACUAACUUUUGAACUUCCAAUACUUAAUAAGGUGAAUUAAAAAUGCUAGUACUCAACUAAUAAAUGUUUUUAAUCAUUGGUAAUUGAAAAUUUAUAUUUCUAUGCAUCACAUUACAAAACGUGUCAUGAAAUAUGCUUAGAUUUCCCAUUAUCUUUAGUUUUCAUUGUUUUAAAUUUUUUUAUUAGCGAUCUUGAACGGCGGCAACAAAUCCCUCCGUUCGCAUAUCUUUUCGUUGUAAUUUGGAUCUGGUCGUUCCAGUCAAUCCAAUUGCAAAACUCCAAAACCUACCAGAUCCAGUGUCAAAGUUUGGUCGGUGAGCGGUUAUGAUUCAGCAUUUAAAAUUGAAACACGCAGGGAAGGCUGCGCCCCUAAAGUAAAUAAAAACAUUCUCUGUAUUUAUAUUUAUGUAAAUAAUUAUCAUUAAGCGAAUUUGGCACCACUUGAAAACUGUUGGCAGCUGUAACACUAACAACAGUGGACUGGCCAGCACGAGCCAGAAAUCAGUAGCAAGGCACAAUCAGCUCAAUAUUAAUUCGGCUUUUUUCAAAUGUGCGAAGUUUUGCAUCAAAUGAUUUCAAAAAUGCAAAAUUGACGCAAUGAAUAGUUAAAAUAAUUGCAUGGAUGCCAUUUUUACAUGAACAAGCAAUGUACCUAUUCUUACCAUUCUUAUUUUUUGCAUUGUAGCAACUCCUUCAUAUUUCGUUGAAAGUUUCUUCAGUUGAAGCAACACAUCACAUUUUCGGAUGUCUCGUGAAACAUUUGCUGGAUUAAAUAACGGCUUGGAACCUUUUUGGUUAACGUCACGCGGUAAAUAUUCGAUCGAUUAUGCUGAGUAACAGUAGAGUCACUUAAGGCGAACGAACUAUCAGAUAAAUUUGAUGUUUCAAAAGGGACUGCCCACAAAAUUUUGAUUAAAACAAUCAAAGCGAUUUGCAAGCUGAAAAAUGAAAUUUGUUGGCCAUUGGAAUGGUUAAUCUCCCAGGGAGCUGCCAUGACGCCAACGAAUGAAAAAAUAGUCAGAUAUACCAUACAUACGAAGAAAUUAAAUCUGGGGAGAUACAGCAUGCAAGGGAUGAUAUUAUUUAAGCCGACUCAGCUUAUCCUCUUUUAAAAUAUUUGAUCCUGCCUUAUAGAUAUAAUGAGUAUCUCUUGAGAGAGAAGAAACCAUUUUAUUAUUAUUAAAGUUCAACUCGAGUAUUCAUAGAACAAGCUUUUGGGAUUUUGAGGCGAAAUUUUUUGAAUCAUAAUGAUAUUCAAAUUACACUAACCGACAAUGGAUUUUGCUCUGAAAUAAAAAUUAUAUAUUUUGGUUCCUGCUAGUAUGUAUAUCAUUAGAAAAAUAA